UGGGGAAUUUUGGACAAUGGGCGAAAGCCUGAUCCAGCAAUGCCGCGUGUGUGAAGAAAGCCUUCGGGUUGUAAAGCACUUUUGUCCGGAAAGAAAUCCUUGGCUCUAAUACAGUCGGGGGAUGACGGUACCGGAAGAAUAAGCACCGGCUAACUACGUGCCAGCAGCCGCGGUAAUACGUAGGGUGCAAGCGUUAAUCGGAAUUACUGGGCGUAAAGCGUGCGCAGGCGGUUUGCUAAGACCGAUGUGAAAUCCCCGGGCUCAACCUGGGAACUGCAUUGGUGACUGGCAGGCUAGAGUAUGGCAGAGGGGGGUAGAAUUCCACGUGUAGCAGUGAAAUGCGUAGAGAUGUGGAGGAAUACCGAUGGCGAAGGCAGCCCCCUGGGCCAAUACUGACGCUCAUGCACGAAAGCGUGGGGAGCAAACAGGAUUAGAUACCCUGGUAGUCCACGCCCUAAACGAUGUCAACUAGUUGUUGGGGAUUCAUUUCCUUAGUAACGUAGCUAACGCGUGAAGUUGACCGCCUGGGGAGUACGGUCGCAAGAUUAAAACUCAAAGGAAUUGACGGGGUCAUAGCUGUUUCCU
RNAcentral lists this ribosomal RNA (585 nucleotides) under uncultured bacterium. Its description in RNAcentral is "partial 16S ribosomal RNA". It matches the Rfam family "Bacterial small subunit ribosomal RNA", at positions 355 to 1375 of the family's 1533-position model. The record is from RNAcentral.